CACAAUAUUGUCAGUGAGAAUUAGCCAAUUAGCAAGCUCCUUGCCAUGCUACCAGCUCCUGGUCAAGCACUGGUCAAGCACGGAGUUCCAGUUCUGCUUUCCAUUGCUUGCAGUGACGCUCUGUCUAACCUCUCCCCUAGUUAUGACAGGACAGGGAGUUUUGGAGAUUUUGUGGUUUUGCUCUUCCUGUUCUGUGGAUUAAUUUAGCCUGUAUCUGAGGGGAUUUUGUACCAGUAUCUCUGAUUCACGUCUUCCCCUUGUCCAGGGUACACGGAUGUUUGUAGGGGAAAGGUCGGCUCCUAACUUUGCUGUUUCAAGCAGUUUGCAGUUAGCUAAGGCACAGCUUCCCUUUGAUUCAAAAUGGAUUUUAAAAUACUGUAAGCCCUGAUUAUGUGUGAGCAUAUAUGAAUAUAUUGAUUACUGAUAACUGAUUAUAUGGAUAGCAUAGGGUAGCCCUUCUUCCUGGCCUCAUUCCCCCCUUUUCAAGCUCAGAUAGAAGAUUCAUCUGACUCCUGAGCUUGAACACCACUCUGGACAUCAGAAUAAACCACUGUUUCCUGUAAGGGGACCUGUUCCUGCACUGGGACUGGUUCCCUAUGCAUUCGCUCGUAACCAUCAUCUUCCUCUGGCUCCUCUGGCACUGGGGGCAAAGCUCGAUAUAUCGCCAGAAUCUGAGGGUCAGUGAGAUGCUUAACAUUGUGGGCUAUCAUUCCCCUAAGCAAAGACAGACAACAAGGGAUUACAGAAAGAAGCAACAGAAAAAUAAAUCCUCCUAUAGCUAAGGCAGUCAGAAGGCUAAGCACCCACCCCUCUCCUGGGAUCCAGGACCACAUCUUUUCCCAGGGAUUCUGAGUGGGUGUGUUGUCAGCUACCAGAGAUUGCAGUUUUUGCAGUUCGUCUUCGAUUGUCUUGUUAAGGUCAUGGAAUUUAACCUGGCAUUGACCUUUUGGGACAAUUUUACAAAAACCGCCCGAACGUGCAAGGAGGUAGUCCAAAACUAAUCUAUGGGUCAUCGUCAAUUGAUUCAAAUCCUCAACCUCAGCCUGCAGGGAGCGCAAGACACGGGUGGUAGCAUUGAUAGUUUUCUCCAGCCUGCAUGUAAGAGCAAACAGUGCCUCUCUAUUUUGCUCAGAAACUAUUCCUGGGUGAAUUCCCAUUGAGAGGAAUCCUAUAAAUCCUCCCCUAACGCUCCCUACAGAAUUUGACAGAAAAAUUUCAUCUUCACAGUGCUCGCCUAGGGCUGCCCUUUUCCAUCUGCUUCCAAGGUGGGGUACCUGGUGAUUGACCUCCACCGUGACCGGAAAGGUAAAUGCGCCCCCGCCGACACACUGGAAAUUUCCUGGGUGGAAAUUUGUUGCCAAUCCAUCAUAUAGAAACCAAAGGUUAGGAUCUUUAAUCAUCCAGCCAGAACAAAUGGACCCUUGUCCAGUGAAAUUAACCGAAUACUGAGGAAAGUAUGGGUACAAAUCUGAAGAGGUAGUAUUGCCCUGGUAGGAGGCAUUGUGGGAACCCCAAAGCCAAAAUUUAUCAGUGCAUUGGGUAUAAUUUCCCAGCCAUCCUUUGUCAAUGUGGUACUUAACUUGGGGCCAAUACUUCCAUUUGGAAUUCCAUACUCCUGUGGAAUGACAACAAAACAUAGGCCUUUUGUGGUUCUGGUGUAUCGGAUGUAUCGGUAGGGGAUGUCAUUCAUUUCAGAAGGUGGGGCUGCAAAGAGGCCACUCUGAUUGUAAAGCAGGCCUGCCAAAACAACAUCAGGAUCCUUGAUUAAUCCUGGUAUAAGGGACAUGUCUGCCACCUUCCUUGGGUGUUCAUAAUAUAAGGUAGCAUUCUCCCCAUAUAUUUGGAACAUGUGUUCAGCAUGCUUUAUAAAGGCAUUACCCACUACCAUUGGGCCUCUCUGGAGCCACAAGCACAUCAAGAUCAACAGAAGCUUCAUCUUCAUUUUCCCCCUGUAGGCCUUCAGGGUUGAACCUUAUCAAUUCUGGCUCUAGGUUGAUGUCACUACUGGUUUUUUUUUUUUAAUGAUAUUUAUUGAAAAUUUUAGAAUUACAAAAGAAAACAAAAAAGAAAAAAGAGAGAAAAAAACAAAGAAAAAACAAACCACAAUCAAACAAUACAGAUUAAUAAAAAUCAAAAUCAGAAAAUAGCACAACACGCUCAAAAAACAAAAAUAUACCACAAACAUUUAAAAACAAAUCCAAUAUUCUCAAAUCCUUAACUGUCAUUACCUUCUUUCUUUGACCUCCUCCUCCUCCCUUUUUUUGUAUCCUGGUUAUUAAUUGUCGUAGCAAAUCCUUUCCAUAUUUCAUAAUAUUCUGUCAUUACUUUACCUUAAUCUAUUUUAAUCUUAUCUUACUAUAAAAACCUUAAAGCUUAAAACUUAAAUCUUAUUUUUACCAAUUUCUCAUAACCAUAAUAUUCUUACAUAAUUCUUUAAACAUUUUUGCUAAAGCCAAAUAAUUUCGUUCCAACAUUUUUCUAACAUUCAUCAAUUUUAUAAAACAAUCCUAAUAAAAAAACCCAAAAAAACCAACAACAAUCCAAUCUUCAUCCAGCGUCUCUUCCUCCUGGUCCCGGGUUUUGUCAGUCCUUUCUAUCUCAUCAAUCUAGCGCAUUAACCUGGCAGUCUUAUGUCCGAGGCCCUUAAGUCCCUUCCAUGUCCCUUCCGCAGCUCUUCUUCAUAUUUAUAGCUGUAUUUUCCUUUAUCUCCUGCUCCUUUCACUCUUGGGAACUCCAGCUUGACAAUGCUUUUGACCCUUCUCGACAAAUCAGCCCCUUUUCCAUAGUCCAGACUAAGCUCCAUGUGGUAUUUAAGAACAUGUUUCAAAGUCCCUCCAAAAUUACGAGCCCCCACAACCCCAAACAUCUCAUGGCCCAUUGCCAGACUUGAAAAGUCCAAACCUCCCUGCAUAGGGGGGUCUAUCCAACCCCCCAUUUCCAAACCAAACCAAACUUUAUCUUUCCAAAUCUGGCUUUUUCCAAGUUCAUUUGUCAAAUCCAAGAAUUCAUGUUCCUGCUGGGCCACAACUCCCUCCAUCUCUGGCGCCCAAGAUUCAGCAACAUCCUCUUCCCUCAUCUGUUCUGUCCGGGCACACUCCUGAUCUGAUUCCUGGCCGGGCUCUAUAUAAUUUCCCACUGCCUGUCCAAAAUUUCUGAUCGCAUCAGUCAUAAAGUCCGUCUUCUCAUGUAGCUGUUCCAGUAGGGCACUUGUUUUACAGAAAGCACACAACAGAGCUUCUGAAUACAUUGUCCUGCAAGGUCAGAAGUCUAUUCCCACGAUCGUAAUCUGUAACAGCUGCAAGCUCCCCGAUUCAGAAUUAGUUACAGUUUCACAGGCUCCCUCUAGGGGAAGAACUGUUUGUUCUUUUCUUUUAAAGACAGAUCUAACAACAAAGUUUCCUUUUUCAGAUAUUUUGUCAAUAUUUGUUCCUUUAAAAUGCGAAGGGGAACAAUGGAAUCACUAUGUUUCUCUUCUUUUAGCUAUCUGUCAGAAACGUUUGUCUCUGGUCAAUGAGCUUCAAAAAAUGUCAGUCCUGACACCCGCUCCAGGAUCAAGACAGUGGAAAGUUACUUUGCAUUACACUCACUUCUGCAGGUUUAAACAGUCCGGAAAAAAUCCCCCCUCUUCUCCUGCUUCCGAAGGGGGUUCAACAAUUUUAAAUGAUGAAAGUUAAUCCUUUACAAGCGAUUUUCAGAACUCUAGUUUGCCAUGUCUUUGCUUUAAUCUAUCUACAAAGAAACGGAAGGCUGACUUUCUGUUUAGACCUUCCCGUUUCAGUGCCAAAUUAAAAUAAACUUUUAAGUCCAAUUUUCCUUUCAGCUCACAAAUCCUUAUUUAGAGUCCAAUUGUCCGAAAUUUAAGUACUCACAGGUGAUUAUUUUAAAAGCCAAAUUGUCCCAGGAAAAAGGCAGCGCUCUCCGGCAACGGCUGUGCGGCUACACUCCACGGAAGAAGCAGUUGACUCUCAGCACCGCGCCACUUCCCCCUCUUCGCUCCGGAGCCCGUUAGUGGAUUCCUUUGCGGGUUGGGGGGGCGCUAAAGGUGCCCGCCGAGUCCCAUGGUCACAGGCUUCAUCCGCCUGUGAUUUUUGAGUGGGUCCCCGCUUCGCUGUAGCGGAAAAGACCCGUUUCUCAUGGAGCUGGUCCCUCCAGAUCAGAGGGAGUCCGCCAUUACCGAUGGCGCCACCCCGGAAGUCUGAUGUCACUACUGUGAUCCUCCUUAUAUAUACAGAAUAGAAUAAUCAGGACCAGAAGGAGUGAAGUUGCAACAAUUAUAUAAGGUAGCAGGUACCAGAACAUACCUUUAGGCGAGAUAUAGCCUCCCGCUCGGCCGCACCCAGUGGACUUAUUAGUGGUCCCCAGGUUCUGGUCGAGCUGGUGAGGUCAACUCACACUGUAUACACUCUGCAACUGCUACCUUGAAGGGACCUGUGGGUGGUGGAGGGGAAAAAACUACAGUGACCAGUAUAGCGCAGGGAAAUGCCCCUUGGGGAGGUGGGUAGGAGAAGCUGCGUAUGGCUCUCCUUGGUUCCCCUGGCAUGUACUCUUCCCCUUGUAUGUGAAACUAUUGUCUCGGACCUGCUUGUGCCCAAUCUGGUAUGUAGAAUUCCCAAAGAAAGAAAGGGAUGUAACAACCGUAUGCAGUUACCCAAUCCACCCACUUGUCACGAAUGUCCCACCUUUUAUCUACCCUUGUUAUUGUUAUUUGUACUAAGGGUUUAUAUGCAAAGUCUGGCUGAAAUCUGGGAUUGACUGAUAUUUUAACUGGUAGGGGUCCUCCCAUACGCUGGUGCAGCUCCCAAAUCUUCCGGUGUGCGUAGACUCACUGGCUUCCGGGUGCAGUGAGAGCAGACCUGUAGUCCCGUUGCCCGUGCUCCUGCCCGCUUCCGGAGAGGCCAGGUGCAGGGGUUCCUGGUGAACUUCAACUUCAGAGGGUCAGACGGGUUCAGCUCACAGUUCCAAUGACCCUCAGACUGCUUCAGACGAGAAUGAUGAAUCCACGGGGUUACUUCCGCUACCUUUACCGCUGUAGGCGUGGCCAGCAGAACUGUGUAGGGACCUCUCCACCGAGCCGUCAGUGGUUCGCUUUUCCACUCUCGCACCCAAACCUGGUCUCCCGGGCGGAAAGGAUGGACUGGAUUGGCCAAGCUGAUGGGAGUGCGUUCGAGACACCACCUGUUUAAAUCAAGAGAAAUACGACAAAGAGCCUGGAUUUGCUCUGCUGUUAUCUGCCCCCCCACCUGAGUUAAAUCUGCUGUUAUUCCCGUGGCUAUUGGAGGAGGUCUCCCAUACAAAAGUUCGAACGGGGAAAGUUUCAGUCUCUUUGUUGGUGAACAUCUGAUCCUAAACAAAGCUAUAGGCAACAAGUCUACCCAUUUACAAUGAGUUUCCUGGCACAAUUUUGCUAACUGUGUUUUGAGAGUCUGAUUCAUCCUUUCUGUUUUUCCUGAGCUUUGAGGUCUAUAGGCCGCAUGUAGUUUCCAUUGUAUUUGCAAGGCUUUGCAUACACCAUCCACUAUUGAUGCAACGAAAGCUGGAGCAUUGUCACUGCCUAUACAUCUUGGUAGACCAAACCUUGGAAUGAUUUCUGUUAGGAGGCAUUUUACGACUUCCCGGGCUUUUUCUGUUCUAGCGAGAUAAAUUUCAGGCCAGCCCGUGAGAGAGCAUGUGAAGACCAAAAGAGCUUUAUACCCUCUUGCCUUAGGCAUUUCCGUGAAAUCCACUAUUAAAUUCUCCAUUGGCAUUAAGCCUGUUUGCUGUAUUCCUGGUGGAGGUACUGGGCCUUGCUUGGGGUUGUUUUUUGCACACAGAAGGCAUGCACGUGAUACUGCUUCAGCCAGCUGGGAUAUCCUAGUUAUGUAAAAUUGUCUAUUCAGGCUUUCCCGCAAUGCUGUGGCCCCAUAGUGAGUGGACUCAUGAUAUUGUUUUACUAUGUCCCUGCCUAAGGCUUCUGGGACAAAUACUCGCUGGUCUGGUAGGAUAAACCAUCCAUCCUGUGGUGGCCCUCUUGUAGGGCCCAUUUUGCUUCUGCCUCCGUGUAAAUGGGUUUUAUUUGCUCUACAUCAACUGCUGUAGGAAAGGAGAUAAAGCAAAUCCUCUGUGGCCUUUUUAUAAGUCUCAUAGCUAUCACAUCCAAGCAAUAAAUCAUCCAGGAAUUGAAGAAGAAUCGUUUUCCCAGGUACUGAAGGGAAUUUAGACAAAUCCUGGGCUAGGGCUGUUCCAAAAAGUGUUGGCGAAUUCUUGAAUCCCUGAGGUAAUCUGGUCCACGUUAACUGGGUUUUUGUCCCCUUGUAAGGAUCCUCCCAUUGAAAUGCAAAUAUUGGCUGGCUCUGAGAUGCAACGCGGCAACAGAAAAAUGCAUCUUUUAAGUCCAACACUGUAAACAUGGUUGCCUCUGAUGGAAUCAAUCCUAGGAGAUUAUAAGGAUUGGGCAAACAGGGAUGCAGAGUCUGUAUUAAAUUAUUAAUCCUUUUCAGAUCUUGGACUGGGCGAAACUGAUCAGAAUUAGGCUUACGUACUGGAAAAAGUGGAGAGUUUCAGCUGGAUUGGCACUUUACCAAAAGUCCAUAUUGCAAUAACUUGUCUAUGUGCAUCUGCAUUCCCUCUGCUGCUUGUCUUGGGAUAGGGUAUUGCCGAGUUGCUAUUGGCUUUGCCCCUGGCUUUAGGUUUAUUACGAAUGGUACUAUGUUCUUUGCCAUGCCUGGUGGGUUGUCCUCUGCCCAUACUCCAGGUGGGGCUCUCAGAUUUUUAGGAAUCUGUGAUUUUUCCUUUUGGGAGUCCUUACUUGAUAAAGCCAUCAUCAUUUUCCAGGCCUGUUCUCUAGGGACCUCUACUGUAACAAUCCCUGUAGCAGCCUGGGGUAAUUUCAUUUCUGCCCCUUUUGGUGUGAAGGUAAUUUGGGCUUGAACCUUUGAUAGAAAGUCACGUCCCAGCAAGGGGAUGGGGCAUUCAGGCACAUACAGAAAUUGAUGUGUAAGGGUUUUCCCUCCAAUCUGGCAUUCUUGAGGUUGCAAAAACGGUUUAAGGACCCUGUUGCCCGUGGCCCCCACAAUUGUUACUGCUUGGUUGCUUUUCGCUUUUAACGGCUUCGUGAGCACCGAAAAUUGUGCUCCAGUGUCAAUCAUGAAAUUUACUAAGGCCCGAAAAAGACCCAAUAUGGAGGCUAAAUGGCCAAAAUAUUGGGAAAUACUAGAAAAAGAUGGAGACAAUUGGAAAUUGCAGAGUUUGGAGAAAAUGAAAGACAAAGUGCGAGAUUGGUUACAUUACGCUCAGAUUAAAGAAGUUUUUAAAAAUGAUAAGAAACUAGGGUUCCAGGUGGAGAAAUCGAAAUUAGAAACAGAAUUGUUAGAACCAAAGACUAAGGUACUUUCAAGGAUGUAUAACUUGCUGUUGGAAUGGAAUACACAAGAUGAAAUGGUUAAAUCGGCUAUGAUAAGGUGGGCACAGGACAUUGGGUAUAAUAUUAUGUUUGAGGACUGGGAAAAGUUGUGGAGUAAUGGAUUGAAAUUUACUGCAUGUAACGCUCUGAAAGAAAAUGUAAUGAAAAUGAUUUAUAGAUGGUAUAUGACCCCAGUUAAACUUGCAAAAAUUUACCACCUGUCUGAUAAUAAGUGUUGGAAAUGUAAAGAGUGUGAGGGAACGUUCUUCCACCUCUGGUGGACCUGCCCUAAAGUGAAGGUGUUCUGGGAAAUGAUUUAUAAUGAAUUGAAAAAGGUAUUUAAAUAUACCUUUACCAAGAAACCAGAGGCUUUCCUUCUGGGUAUUGUCAGCCAAGGGGUGGCAAAGAAGGACCAGACAUUUUUAUGUAUGCAACAACAGCAGCAAGGAUACUUCUUGCAAAACAUUGGAAAACUCAAGAUUUACCCACACUGGAAGAAUGGCAGAUGCAACUGAUAGACUACAUGGAACUGGCUGAAAUGACCGGCAGAAUCCGUGACCUGGGAGAAGAGAGAAUCGAGGAGGAUUGGAAGAAAUUUAAGAACUAUCUACAAAAAUAUUGUGAUUUGAGUGAAUGCUAAAUAAGAUGCUAGACUAAAUAACUGAGCACCACUUAACUUAGAAGUUUUUAAGAAAAUAAGUAAGACUGUGAAAGUUUAACUCUUUAUGAGAACUAUAAGAUUAUGAAACAUUGAAGAGAUAUAAGAUUUUAAAUAAGAUGAUAAAUUGCUGACAAAAUGUUAUAACGAUGAAAGUGGGAGCGGGGAUGUGAGGAAGUCCAAAGAAAAUGUGAAACUAUGUUAAGACAAAUGUUAUAUUGUUUAUUAUGUUUAUUCUUAUUGUAAAACCCAAUAAAUUGCUUUAAAAAAAAAAAAAAAAUCAUGAAAUUUACUAAGCGGCUCCCCAGUUUGACCGAGACCAUGGGCUCUUGGGAGCCUAAAGAAAGAGUUGAGCCCGGUCUGUCCUAUGCGUUCUCAUUCUCAUAUUCCUCCAAUUGCGCUAAUCCAACAAAAUCUCUGCUACUUCCUCUGUUCCUCACAUAUCUUCCUGCUUGCAUCCUUCCUUGCUGCGAUCCCCAUCCACGUCCACGUUCCCUCUGUUCCCUGAAUCCACCUUCUCCCUCUGUUUCCCUUGCAUCAGGGCACUCCUGUUUCCAAUGACCUUCCUUCCUGCAAAUUGCACACUGAUUCCUUCCCAAUGGCAGUCCCCUUCCUCUUCCUCUUCCACGUGCCCUAUUUGAACCUCUCCUUUGGGCACCUGUAUCAAAUGCUGAGCCUUGGCUGAUGGCUGCAGCCAAAAACACUGCCUUUUGCUUCAUUUCCCGAACUCUGUCCUUCUUAACCUCAUUUUCCCUGUUCAAGAAAACCUUUUGAGUGAUUGCUAGGAGCUGUUCCAUUUGCAAUGUUUCAAAGGCGUCUAACUUUUGUAAUUUCCUCUUUAUGUCCGAAGCACUCUGAGCCACAAAUGCCGCAUUUACCAUUUGCUAACUUUCUGGGGCUUCUGGAUCAAAAGGGGUAUAAAUUCUAUAUGCCUCCAUUAAGCGUUCCAAAAAAUUGGAGGGAGAUUCAUCACUAAGUUGAACAAUUUCAGAGACUUUAGAAAUAUUUGUAGGCUUCCUGGCAGCACCCUUUAUAGCUUUUAAAACUUCCUGCCGAUAAUUGUCCAAGGCGUCCUUAUCCCUAUCAGGGUCCCACCCUGGAUCUGAAAGAGGAUAUCUGGCACGAACCCAAACAUCCGGAUUAUUUUCAGAAUUGGGCACCUGGGCUUUGAGAUUGUUGUCUGCAGUGGUAUUUAUUCUUCUCCUUUCCUCAGAGGUGAAAAGGGUCAUUAAAAGAUGCCUGCAAUCCUGCCAUGUAGGCAGAUGGGUUACCAUAAUGGAAGCAACUAAAUCCAGCAUGGCCUGAGGUUUUUCCGAAAAAGGUACCGUAUGUGUUUUCCAAUUCAAUAAAUCUGUUGUUGUAAAAGGGACAUAUUGGAGUGUGACUGUUCUUGCAGGCCCAGGGUCCAGUUGGUCUGCCAUUGGCAUCCACAGGACGUGGAUCUUGGGGCCCUAAGAUUGCCCUCAGGGGAAGCAUCGGCGCUGGUGCCCCCUUGUUAUUUCGCAAAUAAUAACCUCCCUUAGAAAAACUAGGCGAGGCCAGGCUUUGAGAUGUGCUAGGCAAAUCAGUUUCUCUCAUUUUUAGGACCAAUUUCUGUCCAGAAUCUGUAAUAGCAUCCAUCAGUUUCCAUAAUUUUGAACUGUCAUGGCUUUCUGGGGUUUUCAAAGAAUUAAUUUGUUCUCCCCAUGCUCCAGACAUUUGAAAUGUGCUGGUUCCUCCUUCCGCUCCCUCUGUCUGUGUCUGCCAGGCUGACAUGUCCUGGUUGAAUUUUUCCUCGGGAGGGGAGGGUAACGUGCUUUGAUCUAAAGCUGCAGUUUGUUUUGGCUGGGAAGGCAAAUCUGGAAGGCUAGGCACAUCCAGCGAUGCUUGAGGAGGUGGGGCAGCCUGUAAGGCACUAUUCGUGGCUUGUGGAGAGCUAUUUAUAGCUGGCUGAGAUCGGCUGGGCAUAGGGAUCUGUUGGGUUUGUCCUGCCGGUAUAUUUUGAGGUGCCAAUACUUGCCCUGAAGGCGGCUGUAUCGCUUGAUUUCUGUUGCUAUAGUUAUAUGGAGGGGAGGGGAUUCCCUCUUCCUCUGGAGGAGCAACAUAAAUUUCCCUGUCAGUUGCAGAAGAAUUUGUGGUUUUCCUGGCUCCCUGCCUCACAGCGAAAAUCUCACAGCUGCUACCACUUCCCUUUUCCAUUCUGAGCCACUCCGGAUUUUUUAAACAUAUUGCAAUCCAUCUAUUGAUAUAAUAAUAUUGCUCCUUAUAUAGAUCCGGUCUUUGCAUUAUUGAAUCCAAAACUGCUCGACAUAAUUCUAUUUUGAAGGUCCCUUCACGUGGCCACUUUUUAACCUGGGCGGGCCAAUCCUGUUGGCAAUAUUUCUUUAAAAUCUCCUUACUCGGUCUGACCUCUCCUGGUUCUUCUGGAAAGGCUCUUUUAAAAUUCUCUAUCAUACAUUCUAGGGGUGUACAGGCUUGAAUGUUUUUUGAACAUUUCCCCCCCAUUGUUCUUUGCAAAAAGCUUUCCCCUUUCACCAGGCAAAACACUUUCAGCCAGGCAGCUUUCAAAAAUAGAACAAGAAAAAACCACAGCACACUUCCCCCUCACUUUUCUAAAGCCCGUCUCCACUUAUUCACAGUCUCUUUUUCCUUUCUUUAAACACUCUUCCUUUUUUAACACAGUCCUUACUCAUUCAACCACAAGUCCCGGGACGCUCUUUCAUUCGAUCAUACACACACAGCCCUUUUCGCCCCCCUUUGCCUGCGGCGAAACAACCUGGCAGAGAAACACACACACACACACACACAGCGCUUUUUAAAAUCUCCCUCACCCCCCACAGCUGUUUUUUCUCCCAACUUUUUCCGGCAGAAACCUUUUUCCUAUCCCUUGGCUGACCCAGCUUCUCCUCCCUUUCCCUUUCUUUUGGGAUCCUUUCCCCUUUAACGGGAGGUUACUAGUGGGUCGCUCAGAGUGGUGAUCAAGCACUCAUUAUUAUCUUAACUCACCGUGAGUUCCUUUCGUGGUGCGCCUUUCCUGUUGGCUCACGUUCAGAUUCUCCCUCGGUUGUUGCCUCUGCCCUGACGGGAGUCCACGCCGAAGGCGGUUGCCUCUCUCCUUCGGAAAUGAUGUCCGAUUGGCGCCGGGGAGGUGAAACAAGGUCCCCCGACGUGUCCUCCCGCCCAAGAGCCGGGCAAGGCUCUUUUUGGGUAAAAAAAUACCCUACUGGCCUGUAUGAUCUGAGCACGGCACCAAAUGAAGCACGUGAACGUAAGCAGGUACUCGCUUGGUGUUAAAUAAGGAUCAGGCAGACUCAGCAAUGGAGAAUAAGAAGGUGAAGUUUAUUGCCAGGCAAUAAGGACCCAGUUUGGAAUCUCUUCCAAAAGGAACUGGGACCCCGAGUGACAGAAAUCCAGGGGUCUUAUACCUGAGCAGAUCACAGCAAAUCAUAGAUCAUGAGACAACCAUGAGGGACUCACGAUAUUGUCAGCGAGAAUUAGCCAAUUAGCAAGCUCCUUGCCACGCUGCCAGCUCCUGGUCAAGCACUGGUCAAGCACAGAGUUCCAGUUCUGCUUUCCAUUGCUUGCAGUGACGCUCUGUCUAACCUCUCCCCUAGUUAUGACAGGACAGGGAGUUUUGGAGAUUUUGUGGUUUUGCUCUUCCUGUUCUGUGGAUUAAUUUAGCCUGUAUCUGAGGGGAUUUUGUACCAGUAUCUCUGAUUCACGUCUUCCCCUUGUCCAGGGUACACGGAUGUUUGUAGGGGAAAGGUCGGCUCCUAACUUUGCUGUUUCAAGCAGUUUGCAGUUAGCUAAGGCACAGCUUCCCUUUG
Non-coding RNA from Podarcis lilfordi (Lilford's wall lizard), 11842 nucleotides. Lineage: Eukaryota; Metazoa; Chordata; Lepidosauria; Squamata; Lacertidae. The record is from the annotation of a GenBank genome assembly.